This 254-nucleotide ribosomal RNA is filed under the name uncultured bacterium. RNAcentral describes it as "partial 16S ribosomal RNA". It matches the Rfam family "Bacterial small subunit ribosomal RNA", at positions 524 to 776 of the family's 1533-position model. The record is from RNAcentral.
UACAGAGGUCUCAAGCGUUGUUCGGAUUCAUUGGGCGUAAAGGGUGCGUAGGCGGCGCGGUAAGUCGGGUGUGAAAUUUCGAGGCUUAACUUCGAAACUGCAUUCGAUAACUGCCGUGCUUGAGGACUGGAGAGGAGACUGGAAUUUGACGGUGAGCGGUGAAAUGCGUAGAUAUCGAUAAGGAAGACCAGUGGCGAAGGCGGGUCUCUGGACAGUUCCUGACGCUGAGGCACGAAGGCCAGGGAGCAAACGGG